CACGUAGGGCGCAAGCGUUGUCCGGAAUUAUUGGGCGUAAAGAGCUCGUAGGUGGUUUGCUGCGUCCGCUGUGAAAACCCAAGGCUUAACCUUGGGCUUGCAGUGGAUACGGGCAGACUAGAGGUAGGUAGGGGAGAAUGGAAUUCCCGGUGUAGCGGUGAAAUGCGCAGAUAUCAGGAGGAACACCGGUGGCGAAGGCGGGUCUCUGGGCCGAUACUGACGCUGAGGAGCGAAAGCGUGGGGAGCGAACAGG
This 253-nucleotide ribosomal RNA is filed under the name uncultured bacterium. RNAcentral's name for it is "partial 16S ribosomal RNA". It matches the Rfam family "Bacterial small subunit ribosomal RNA", at positions 524 to 776 of the family's 1533-position model. The record is from RNAcentral.